CACCGCGGUUAUACGAGAGGCCCAAGUUGAAAGACAUCGGCGUAAAGAGUGGUUAAGUAAAAAUUAAACUAAAGUCGAACAUCUUCAAGGCUGUUAUACGCAUCCGAAGACAAGAAGUUCAACCACGAAGGUGACUUUAUUUAUACUGAACCCACGAAAGCUAAGACA
This 168-nucleotide ribosomal RNA is filed under the name Erilepis zonifer. RNAcentral describes it as "partial small subunit ribosomal RNA". Lineage: Eukaryota; Metazoa; Chordata; Actinopteri; Perciformes; Anoplopomatidae. The record is from RNAcentral.